Molecule: long non-coding RNA, 252 nt
Filed under: Homo sapiens (human)
Lineage: Eukaryota; Metazoa; Chordata; Mammalia; Primates; Hominidae
Description: HSALNT0153333
Source: RNAcentral
GGCAUGAACCUUCAGAGCCCUGAGCUGCCUUGUAAGAAGUCUAGCUAGCAAUGCCACCAUGCUGGAGAGAUGAUGAGGGAAAACUACAUACAGACACAAACAGAGUGAGACACUCAAGAAGCCCUAGUUGUGGAAUACAGCAGUGCUAUGGAGGCUUGACAUAACCAUCUACUUUUCCAGAAACCCACAUUGUCUAAGGUGAUAACAGAGGAAAUACCUGCCUGAUGCUCUCAAUGUCAUCAGUUAAACUGA